AUGGCGACCGGCGCACGGGUGAGUAACACGUAUCCAACCUGCCGAUGACUCGGGGAUAGCCUUUCGAAAGAAAGAUUAAUACCCGAUGGCAUAGUUCUUCCGCAUGGUGGAACUAUUAAAGAAUUUCGGUCAUCGAUGGGGAUGCGUUCCAUUAGGCAGUUGGUGGGGUAACGGCCCACCAAACCUUCGAUGGAUAGGGGUUCUGAGAGGAAGGUCCCCCACAUUGGAACUGAGACACGGUCCAAACUCCUACGGGAGGCAGCAUG
This 266-nucleotide ribosomal RNA is filed under the name uncultured bacterium. RNAcentral's name for it is "partial 16S ribosomal RNA". It matches the Rfam family "Bacterial small subunit ribosomal RNA", at positions 88 to 353 of the family's 1533-position model. The record is from RNAcentral.